This 407-nucleotide ribosomal RNA is filed under the name uncultured bacterium. RNAcentral's name for it is "partial 16S ribosomal RNA". It matches the Rfam family "Bacterial small subunit ribosomal RNA", at positions 28 to 526 of the family's 1533-position model. The record is from RNAcentral.
GACGAACGCUGGCGGCGCGCUUAACACAUGCAAGUCGAGCGAAGCGGCGGACGGGUGAGUAACACGUGAGUAACCUGCCUUAGACAUUGGGAUAGCCUCGGGAAACCGGGAUUAAUACCAAAUGGUCUAAGAUGUACUCGCGUCCCAUUAGCUAGGUGGUGAGGUAACGGCCCACCAAGGCGACGAUGGGUAGCCGGGCUGAGAGGGUGAACGGCAACAUUUGAACUGAGAAACGGUCCAAACUCUACGGGAGGCAGCAGUGGGGUAUAUUGCACAAUGGAGGGAACUUUGAUGCAGCGACGUCGCGUGAACGAAGAAGGCUUUCGAGUCGUAAAGUUCUUUUAUAUGGGAAGCGGUACCAUAAGAAAAAGCCCCGGCUAACUACGUGCCAGCCGCCGCGGUAAUUC